RNAcentral lists this ribosomal RNA (493 nucleotides) under uncultured bacterium. Its description in RNAcentral is "partial 16S ribosomal RNA". It matches the Rfam family "Bacterial small subunit ribosomal RNA", at positions 30 to 523 of the family's 1533-position model. The record is from RNAcentral.
AUUGAACGCUGGCGGCAUGCCUUACACAUGCAAGUCGAACGGUAACAGGUUAAGCUGACGAGUGGCGAACGGGUGAGUAAUAUAUCGGAACGUGCCCAGUCGUGGGGGAUAACGUAGCGAAAGCUACGCUAAUACCGCAUACGAUCUACGGAUGAAAGCGGGGGAUCGCAAGACCUCGCGCGAUUGGAGCGGCCGAUAUCAGAUUAGGUUGUUGGUGGGGUAAAAGCUCACCAAGCCUGCGAUCUGUAGCUGGUCUGAGAGGACGACCAGCCACACUGGAACUGAGACACGGUCCAGACUCCUACGGGAGGCAGCAGUGGGGAAUUUUGGACAAUGGACGCAAGUCUGAUCCAGCAAUGCCGCGUGCAGGACGAAGGCCUUCGGGUUGUAAACUGCUUUUGUACGGAACGAAACGGUGAGCUCUACUAUAGUUUGCUAAUGACGGUACCGUAAGAAUAAGCACCGGCUAACUACGUGCCAGCCGCCGCCGUAA